UUAUGGUAUCUGAAGAAUAAUACAAAGAGAGUGAUAGCUUUUGCUUCCUCUCCAUUACCGACACGAUCUUCAACGUUGUGGGACGGUUGUGGGGGAUUCGUAUGUACAGAUUCAGACAAACAUCCAGCCACCUUGAUUGAAUCUUUUGCUUUGUUGGGAGUCUCGAAGUUCAGCUGGUCUACUGAACUCACUGUUAUCUGAUUCAAAGAGGCUAAAGAAGAGCUUCGAGUCAGAGUACCAGAUGCCACUGUUAUUUCGUCCCUCUCAUCGAUUGUUGAUUCGAGGGAGCAUACUGAUCUUGCCGUGUGUGAAUGCAACGAAUCAUGCUUAGACUUGUGUUUCACUCUUUUACACCAACUAUGCAGGGACUCUCUAACUCUCUCCGCCACUAAGGCCUUCUUA
This 402-nucleotide small RNA is filed under the name Vigna angularis var. angularis. RNAcentral describes it as "Non-protein coding transcript". Lineage: Eukaryota; Viridiplantae; Streptophyta; Magnoliopsida; Fabales; Fabaceae. The record is from RNAcentral.